This 253-nucleotide ribosomal RNA is filed under the name uncultured bacterium. Its description in RNAcentral is "partial 16S ribosomal RNA". It matches the Rfam family "Bacterial small subunit ribosomal RNA", at positions 524 to 776 of the family's 1533-position model. The record is from RNAcentral.
UACGUACCGUACGAACGUUAUUCGGAAUUACUGGGCUUAAAGGGUUUGUAGGCGGCCUAUUAAGUCGGGUGUGAAAUCCCUCGGCUCAACCGAGGAACGGCGCCCGAUACUGCUAGGCUCGAGGGAGACAGGGGUAAGCGGAACUGAUGGUGGAGCGGUGAAAUGCGUUGAUAUCAUCAGGAACACCGGUGGCGAAAGCGGCUUACUGGGUCUCUUCUGACGCUGAGGAACGAAAGCUAGGGUAGCGAACGGG